CCUACGGGCGGCAGCAGUGGGGAAUAUUGGACAAUGGGGGCAACCCUGAUCCAGCCAUGCCGCGUGUGUGAAGAAGGCCCUCGGGUUGUAAAGCACUUUCAGUGAGGAAGAACGCCUGGUGGUUAAUACCCAUCAGGAAAGACAUCACUCACAGAAGAAGCACCGGCUAACUCCGUGCCAGCAGCCGCGGUAAUACGGAGGGUGCGAGUGUUAAUCGGAAUUACUGGGCGUAAAGCGCGCGUAGGUGGCUUGAUAAGCCGGUUGUGAAAGCCCCGGGCUCAACCUGGGAACGGCAUCCGGAACUGUCAAGCUAGAGUGCAGGAGAGGAAGGUAGAAUUCCCGGUGUAGCGGUGAAAUGCGUAGAGAUCGGGAGGAAUACCAGUGGCGAAGGCGGCCUUCUGGACUGACACUGACACUGAGGUGCGAAAGCGUGGGUAGCAAACAGGAUUAGAUACCCCUGUAGUC
This 465-nucleotide ribosomal RNA is filed under the name Vreelandella stevensii. RNAcentral describes it as "partial 16S ribosomal RNA". It matches the Rfam family "Bacterial small subunit ribosomal RNA", at positions 338 to 795 of the family's 1533-position model. Lineage: Bacteria; Pseudomonadati; Pseudomonadota; Gammaproteobacteria; Oceanospirillales; Halomonadaceae. The record is from RNAcentral.